UGACAUAUUUCGACUCCAUUAAGAUUUGGAUUUGGUCACAUAAAUACACACUCGAGUUUAAGAAGGUAAUUUAUUAAAAGCGCACCUAAAGCGACUAACGCGUUAUUAUGUUUGGGGAGGGCCGUGAAAUUCACUAAAUGGCCCAUCCCGAAUUCUAAAAAUUAAUACAAUAUAUUAUUGAGAGCCCCGCAAUUUUGCAUUAUAUUUGACGAGGCUUAUCUCAUUCUUAUUAUUUAAAAGGCAAAUCCUAAAGUAACUAUGAUUUUCUAUUUUUGUUUGUUUUUGAAAUAAAAGAAAGAGUCCUAAUUGAUUAAUAUGACUUAAGAGUUACUUUAUUUGAAAACUAUGACUUUCAUUUAAUUCAGGCCUUCAGCGCUUUAGGGGCCUCCGAAUAUUCCCAAGAACGGAGCGAAUUGCUGAGGUAUUUAUCAAAACUUUUUAUCACACCAGGACUUCACAUGCAUAGGAGUUUGCUCAGCUUCUAGUUCUAAACUACAGCACUACACUUCAUUGAAAGAAUUCAAGUUCAGAAUUUAACAUUCCAAGACAAAUCCAGCAAGUCAUAUCAAUUAGAAACAGUCCUAAAUAAACAAUUCCUGAUUCAAUACGACUCAAAUAAAAUAAAGCUGGACAACUACAAAUCAAUUGAUUGAUUAUAACUGCAUAUAUUAAAUCAAGCACAAAUCUGGAAUGACACUUCAUUUUAUUCCAAUUCAAAGCUACAUCAGGGUGAUCUUAAAUGUGUACCUGGACAGAAAUUCAGAAAAAGGAGAAUAAGUCAGCAUAUAUUCAAUCAAGCACAAAUCUGGAAUAACACUUCAUUUUAUUCCAAUUCAAAGCUACAUCAGGGUGAUCUUAAAUGUGUACCUGGACAGAAAUUCAGAAAAAGGAGAAUAAGUCAACAGCAAAUAACAGCAGAGAUCCAACACUCAGCAGAUCCAGAAAACUCAACCACAAACACACCAAUUAAACUCGAAUAAAUUUGAAAAUGUACCCAGGCACUCAAAAACUCUUCAGCAAUUAGACAGAAACUAACAAAUCAACCCAGAGGCUAUAGGCUCGAAUGCACCAGAAUAUUUCAGCCAACCUAAAACUCAUCCAAAGCUUACUUAAUUGGACCAAAACUACUUGAAAUCAAAACAGUGCACUCCAGAGAAGAGCUUCAGUAAUCAGAAAAGAAAAGAGUUGAUCAAAAUUGACCAAAACUCAAUGUAACAGUGCCUUUUUUUAAUUUUUCUAUUGUGUUU
RNAcentral lists this long non-coding RNA (1247 nucleotides) under Nicotiana benthamiana. Its description in RNAcentral is "long non-coding RNA (NBEN_LNC020515)". Lineage: Eukaryota; Viridiplantae; Streptophyta; Magnoliopsida; Solanales; Solanaceae. The record is from RNAcentral.